This 77-nucleotide transfer RNA is filed under the name Bacteroides uniformis. RNAcentral describes it as "tRNA-Asp". It matches the Rfam family "tRNA". Rfam says of the family: Transfer RNA (tRNA) molecules are approximately 80 nucleotides in length. Their secondary structure includes four short double-helical elements and three loops (D, anti-codon, and T loops). Lineage: Bacteria; Pseudomonadati; Bacteroidota; Bacteroidia; Bacteroidales; Bacteroidaceae. The record is from RNAcentral.
GGUGCGUUAGUUCAGUUGGUUAGAAUACAUGCCUGUCACGCGUGGGGUCACGGGUUCGAGUCCCGUACGCACCGCGA